Long non-coding RNA from Uranotaenia lowii, 698 nucleotides. RefSeq lists it as uncharacterized. NCBI's taxonomy places the organism in Eukaryota, Metazoa, Arthropoda, Insecta, Diptera, Culicidae. The record is from RefSeq and is a predicted model, not a curated record. The transcript is spliced from 3 exons.
UUGAUCCACAACAGAUGCAAAUAAUGAUUGGUGACGUAUGCCAGGAACUGUUGAAGGCACAUCACGAAAGAAAGAAAAAGAAUCGGAACAGACCUGGAUCGUUUCAACUAUGGCCCCUGGAGUGCUCCCCGGUUUGUUGAAAUUAUGGCGGCUGUGCCAUACGAGGCCAACCCGAUUUUACUUCCCAAACCGGACUGCUAGUAAGAUUCUGGUGGUGGCCGUUAUGUGUAACCUAUAUCGCUGCCCGGCAACAUUAGUGAGUACUAUCCCGGCGGACUGUACAGUGGCUUCGAAUAUUCCACCCAGAGCUACACUGGAUACGAGGAGCAAAAAAAAAACUGAUCCUGGAAGAACGCCCAAGAUGGCGGAAGGCGUUCAGGUACGGGGCAUUCCAAUCGUUUGCUUCGAAAAAUAUCAUCAACAUUCAGGUGAUGCAUUUCAUCAGUCCCAAAGAAGGCCAAUAAGCCAGCUCAGACAUCCAGCGCGAAAUGAGGAAAAUUCCGAUGAAUAAUAUCAACCAAUUUGUGGCUCCCGACGAUGCCGAAGGCAAACUUUAUAGCUAGCAUUUUUCCCUGCAGGCAAAAACCCUUAUUUAUUCGCGGCAACUGGAGGAAGCAAUCGGUUGUAUAAGGGCCAUCCCAUGCAUGAACCGCAAUCAAUACUUGCUUUUCCAAAUCGCUGAUGACGGCUCACUGCAA